Molecule: long non-coding RNA, 1185 nt
Organism: Xenia sp. Carnegie-2017
Lineage: Eukaryota; Metazoa; Cnidaria; Anthozoa; Malacalcyonacea; Xeniidae
Exons: 4
Source: RefSeq, a predicted model, not a curated record
UUAUAUGAUAAUUGGAUAUGAUAUUUUAUAUGUUUUCAUCACUAUUUCAUUUAUAAGGUGGUAUAAAUUGUAGCAUACCUUUACGGAACCAAGACACUUCGUUUUUGCUUUUGUCGCUGAAUGAUCGUUGAGCGUGUCUACAGGAGAACAGGCUUACUUGAGAACGCUACUUUCUUGUUCGGCUACAAGUUAGUUAAUGGAUCUGUAAAAAAUUCAACGGGUUAAUCUACAGCAUUCUUGAAUUCUCAUUACUGCAUCACAACCAAUUGAAAAUGAAGACUGGCUGAUUUGUAUUCAGAAAUGCCAUAUUGACGUCGUCAGCAUCUUUUGGCAGCAACAUCAAUCAUUUCUUUUGAAUAUAUCGACUGUCAACUUGUGUGCAUAACGCGUGUCUUUUUGUGUAAUGAUAACGAAAUUGGUGGAUAUGGCUGGAUUGUUGUUUUGCAGUUUAGUAUGUGUUGUGAGAUUCGUAAUGGUUCUGCUGCCCAUGGGACACAUUCAAGUGAUAGUAUCACCAUUGUCUCUGGAGGCCUUGAAGAUACACGUUGCGAUAUACUCGAGCUUGAAAUGGUGGACUAUAAGAGGUUAAAUUCACCCAAAAGAUCAGCAUAACGCGUGUCUUUUUGUGUAAUGAUAACGAAAUUGGUGGAUAUGGCUGGAUUGUUGUUUUGCAGUUUAGUAUGUGUUGUGAGAUUCGUAAUGGUUCUGCUGCCCAUGGGACACAUUCAAGUGAUAGUAUCACCAUUGUCUCUGGAGGCCUUGAAGAUACACGUUGCGAUAUACUCGAGCUUGAAAUGGUGGACUAUAAGAGGUUAAAUUCACCCAAAAGAUCAGUUUAGAAAAUCGAAAGUUGUUAUCAUUAUCGCUGCAGUUUUGCGGAGUAGCUGUGACGAACUAUUCAAAACGAAAAAGAUUGUACACCCGACAGGGUUCGUGUUUCUGUUUGAUAAAAGUUUUCAUUGUAAUAGUUGAAUACGGUUGAAUUUUCUUGGUAGUGGUCAUCGUCACAAGUUGGUUGUCCUGCAGGAUGCGGACACUUGUAUUUUAUGGCAUCUAAGGGUUAUGGCUCUGGGAUAAAAUUAUAUAUAGGUCUAUCCCUAUUAAUGAAGAAUAUUCCUGCAUAAAAGAGCGCUCAAUAUCCUAUAUAUUAGAAGAGCGUAAGAUAAAAUGAAAUAAAAUGGACAA